RNAcentral lists this non-coding RNA (182 nucleotides) under Lachnospiraceae bacterium. RNAcentral's name for it is "6S RNA". It matches the Rfam family "6S / SsrS RNA". From Rfam's summary of the family: E. coli 6S RNA was the first non coding RNA to be sequenced, but its function was unknown until recently. It consists of 184 nucleotides that fold into an extended hairpin structure with a large single-stranded internal bulge. The record is from RNAcentral. Lineage: Bacteria; Bacillati; Bacillota; Clostridia; Lachnospirales; Lachnospiraceae.
AUCUGCCUGAAAUGUACGAUAUCACCUAUGCUAUUGAACCUACAAUUACUUUAAACGGGAUUCUUAUAUUGCUUACUUGGAUGUCAGGCCUCUCGUCGUGGAAGGCAGAAGAGUAGCUGCGGUUGCCCACCUGGCUUUAUAGCUAGGAGUCAAACGCAUAGGCACGUCAUUUCGGGCAAUGA